CWRSGCWGCUUACACAUGCAGUCGACGGAAUCUUCGGAUUUAGUGGCGGACGGGUGAGUAACGCGUGAGAAUCUAGCUCUAGGUCGGGGACAACCACUGGAAACGGUGGCUAAUACCGGAUGUGCCGAAAGGUGAAAGAUUUAUUGCCUAGAGAUGAGCUCGCGUCUGAUUAGCUAGUUGGUGUGGUAAGAGCGCACCAAGGCGACGAUCAGUAGCUGGUCUGAGAGGAUGAUCAGCCACACUGGGACUGAGACACGGCCCAGACUCCUACGGGAGGCAGCAGUGGGGAAUUUUCCGCAAUGGGCGAAAGCCUGACGGAGCAAUACCGCGUGAGGGAGGAAGGCUCUUGGGUUGUAAACCUCUUUUCUCAGGGAAUAAGAAAGUGAAGGUACCUGAGGAAUAAGCAUCGGCUAACUCCGUGCCAGCAGCCGCGGUAAUACGGAGGAUGCAAGCGUUAUCCGGAAUGAUUGGGCGUAAAGCGUCCGCAGGUGGCACUGUAAGUCUGCUGUUAAAGAGCAAGGCUCAACCUUGUAAAGGCAGUGGAAACUACAGAGCUAGAGUACGUUCGGGGCAGAGGGAAUUCCUGGUGUAGCGGUGAAAUGCGUAGAAUA
RNAcentral lists this ribosomal RNA (611 nucleotides) under Anabaena sp. 124. RNAcentral's name for it is "bacterial SSU rRNA". It matches the Rfam family "Bacterial small subunit ribosomal RNA", at positions 40 to 696 of the family's 1533-position model. The record is from RNAcentral. Lineage: Bacteria; Bacillati; Cyanobacteriota; Cyanophyceae; Nostocales; Nostocaceae.